AUACGGAGGUUGCGAGCGUUACUCGGAGUCACUGGGCGUAAAGCGUCCGUAGGCGGUCGGGUAAGUCGGGUGUGAAAGCCCCGGGCUCAACCUGGGAAGUGCACCCGAUACUGCUCGACUCGAGUGCGGGAGAGGAUGGCGGAAUUCCCGGUGUAGCGGUGAAAUGCGUAGAGAUCGGGAGGAACACCAGUGGCGAAGGCGGCCAUCUGGCCCGCAACUGACGCUGAGGGACGAAAGCGUGGGGAGCAAACAGGAGUAGAAACCCCAGUAGUCC
Molecule: ribosomal RNA, 274 nt
Filed under: uncultured bacterium
Lineage: Bacteria
Description: partial 16S ribosomal RNA
Rfam family: Bacterial small subunit ribosomal RNA
Source: RNAcentral